CCUACGGGAGGCAGCAGUGGGGAAUAUUGCACAAUGGGGGAAACCCUGAUGCAGCGACGCCGCGUGAGUGAAGAAGUAAUUCGUUAUGUAAAGCUCUAUCAGCAGGGAAGAAAAUGACGGUACCUGAGUAAGAAUCCCCGGCUAACUACGUGCCAGCAGCCGCGGUACUACGUAGGGGGCAGGCGUUAUCCGGAUUUACUGGGUGUAAAGGGAGCGUAGACGGCAGUGCAAGUCUGUAGUGAAAGGCGGGGGCUCAACCCCCGGACUGCUCUGGAAACUGUACGGCUGGAGUGCAGGAGAGGUAAGUGGAAUUCCUAGUGUAGCGGUGAAAUGCGUAGAUAUUAGGAGGAACACCAGUGGCGAAGGCGGCUUACUGGACUGUAACUGACGUUGAGGCUCGAAAGCGUGGGGAGCAAACAGGAUUAGAUACCCGGGUAGUC
Molecule: ribosomal RNA, 440 nt
Filed under: uncultured bacterium
Lineage: Bacteria
Description: partial 16S ribosomal RNA
Rfam family: Bacterial small subunit ribosomal RNA
Source: RNAcentral